RNAcentral lists this ribosomal RNA (548 nucleotides) under uncultured bacterium. RNAcentral's name for it is "bacterial SSU rRNA". It matches the Rfam family "Bacterial small subunit ribosomal RNA", at positions 38 to 611 of the family's 1533-position model. The record is from RNAcentral.
AACGAAGCGCUUUAUUCAGAUUCUUUCGGGAUGAUGAAUUUAGUGACUUAGUGGCGGACGGGUGAGUAACGCGUGGGUAACCUGCCUUACACAGGGGGAUAACAGUUAGAAAUGACUGCUAAUACCGCAUAAAACAGCAGCACCGCAUGGUGCAACUGUCAAAGAUUUAUCGGUGUAAGAUGGACCCGCGUCUGAUUAGCCAGUUGGUGGGGUAACGGCCUACCAAAGCGACGAUCAGUAGCCGACCUGAGAGGGCGACCGGCCACAUUGGGACUGAGACACGGCCCAAACUCCUACGGGAGGCAGCAGUGGGGAAUAUUGGACAAUGGGCGAAAGCCUGAUCCAGCGACGCCGCGUGAGCGAUGAAGUAUUUCGGUAUGUAAAGCUCUAUCAGCAGGGAAGAAAAUGACGGUACCUGACUAAGAAGCCCCGGCUAGCUACGUGCCAGCAGCCGCGGUAAUACGUAGGGGGCAAGCGUUAUCCGGAUUUACUGGGUGUAAAGGGAGCGUAGACGGAAGUGCAAGUCAGAAGUGAAAGCCCGGGGCUUA